UAUCUGCCGUGGGCGCUGGAGAAUUGAGGGGGGCUGCUCCUAGUACGAGAGGACCGGAGUGGACGCAUCACUGGUGUUCGGGUUGUCAUGCCAAUGGCAUGCCCGGUAGCUAAAUGCGGAAGAGAUAAGUGCUGAAAGCAUCUAAGCACGAAACUUGCCCCGAGAUGAGUUCUCCCUGAGACUAUAAGUCUCCUGAAGGAACGUUAAAGACGAUGACGUUGAUAGGCCGGGUGUGUAAGCGCAGCGAUGCGUUGAGCUAACCGGUACUAAUGAACCGUGAGGCUUAACCUUACAACGCCGAAG
This 303-nucleotide ribosomal RNA is filed under the name Klebsiella quasipneumoniae. Its description in RNAcentral is "partial 23S ribosomal RNA". It matches the Rfam family "Bacterial large subunit ribosomal RNA", at positions 2639 to 2925 of the family's 2925-position model. Lineage: Bacteria; Pseudomonadati; Pseudomonadota; Gammaproteobacteria; Enterobacterales; Enterobacteriaceae. The record is from RNAcentral.